UGCCCAAUACCAGAUGCACACAUGACUCUUCCUAUUAGCAACUUGUAACUAUAGCAAGAGUUUCAGGAAGUCUCAGUUCAUGGAAAAUGAGAUAUUUUCAUGAAAUAUGUAAGUGACCAUUCUCAAAUAGAAAUAUUUCUUGACAAAAAGGAAGCAAACAUAACUAAACAUGUAUGUACUAGUAUUUUCUUUCCUACUCAGAAGGUGUCCAGAAUUCAGGAUCAUCAAUAGCAUCUCCCAGAGCAUGUUACCAAUACAAUAUUACAAAUCCACUUCACAUCUACUGAAUGUGAAUUGGCAUUUCAACAAGUUAACAAGUAAUCUCGGAUCAAGUGGAGAUGUUGUGAUGACCCAGACUCCACUCCCCCUGCCUGUCACCCUAGGAGAGCCGGCCUCCAUCUCCUGCAGGUCUAUUCAGAACUUUCUAUAUAGCAAUGGAAACACAUAUUUGAAAUGGUUCCUGCAGAAGCCAGGCCAGUCUCCACAACUCCUGAUCUAUGAGGUUUCCAACUGAGAAUCUGGGAUCUCAGAAAGAUUCAGUGGCAGUGGGUCAGGCACAGAUUGCACAUUGAAAUGUAGCAGUGUGGAAACUGAGGAUGAUGGGGUGUAUUACUGCU
Dipodomys ordii (Ord's kangaroo rat) is the source of this 617-nucleotide non-coding RNA. Lineage: Eukaryota; Metazoa; Chordata; Mammalia; Rodentia; Heteromyidae. The record is from the annotation of a RefSeq genome assembly.